AUGUGGUAUUGCCUUGUGCAUUGGAGUGUAGCAAAGAGGGCAUAUGCUGCCUUUCACAACCGAAAAAUAUCCACAAGCAAAACGAGUGGCAUUGUAGCUGGUGCUGUUCAAUUUCCCUUCACAUGUGAAGAAGCUGGUAUUGGCAUUUAACUCUGUAUCCAGCAGCUGCUGCAAUGGGCAGAGUGCGUUGGGGGCAGCCGUCGGGCUCAGGUAGCGUUGCUUACUCUGGUUUGUGGUUACAUGCUUGUCUUCCAGCUUCUCCAUACUGUCAAGCACGUUCCCCAUACUGCCAACCAUACGCUCCUUGGUCAGCAAGUUGAUGAUGGUGCUCAUUGGUAGGCAAAGGAGACUGGCGAGGAACUCUACGACAUCAUUACCGGCCUCGGCAAAGCAGACUUUCUGAGCCUUGGUAUCAAUCAAGAGUUUGAUCGAUAAUGUCUUCAUAGCCAUGAUUUUUCCCCUUUACCAAAAUUCUUUAAAUUUAUUGGUAGUUGAUUGAUUGCCUCUACAAUCACCAGUGAAAGAAAAUUACACAGGCUUUUAAUUGAUUAUAGGUCCAAAUGUUCAGUUAUGAGUAGCACAAUGGCACAUAGUGGAAAAUUAUACAGGCAAUUGAAUUGUCCAGGGAAAUUUAAGGAAGGCAAAGCAAAAGCAUGUUCCAGAUAUAUGAUCGAAAGAAACAUCUAGAUUGGUUGACAGCUGCUCAAAGUAGCAAAAGUGAUCUCCUAUGUAUAUACAAAAAAUACAACUUCUCCUGUAGACUAAGUUAAACAAUCUAUGCAUAUAACACAAUUUCCAAAUAAGUAAUAGCACAGCAGUAUGUUAAUCUUCUCCAAAUGGUAAUAUGGAAAAAUGGAUUCAGACCAAGUAAUCUGGUUUUCUGAAUAUCUCAUUUGGCAAGGCAUGGGAAAAAAACAAAACCUAGAAAACACAAUCUUAUAAAUGUUCUUCCAGACAAAAUCAUAGGUUGUAGUUUUGUACAAGCAGUUAAGCGCUACAGACAUGCAAGUAUAUGCAUGUUAUGUCAACUUGUGAAGUGUAAGCCUUCAACAGCAGCCUAAUCUUACUUUUUUUUUCUGCAAUUAAAUUUACUAUUCCUAAUUAAAUCAAUCACUCCUUUGUAUUUUAGGAUAGAAUUCCGGGCUAUUUUAGGAUAGAAUUGACUCACAA
Molecule: small RNA, 1170 nt
Filed under: Oryza sativa Japonica Group (Japanese rice)
Lineage: Eukaryota; Viridiplantae; Streptophyta; Magnoliopsida; Poales; Poaceae
Description: sRNA Os01g0154550
Source: RNAcentral